GCUCAUGUGUCUGGGGUCACAAAAGAGGUGGCCAAGGAAAGGCUCAGUCCUCUCUGCUCCCCCCCUUCUGUGCCCAAGAAAUGUGACAAAACCAAAGUAACUGGAGGCAGGAAAUGAAUCGAGCAGAGUUAUGUCUAUGUAGGUAGAGAGACAGGAAACUGCAGGAGAGCUUCCAUGGCAGUUGAGAUCAGUGGGAUAACUGCUCUGAACGCGGGAUAUGCCUAAAAUGACAGAGUGAAUGUAAGAGCAUCUUCUGUCACAGCUGGAUAGUAAAGAUAAAUCUUUGAUGUUUAUUGAGCAUUAAAACUACAGUGAAAGCUCCAUACAGAAAGCAUUGAGGCAAUUAAUAUUCCUGCUUUCCUCUGCAUGGAAUGGAGUUCAGUGGUUUCCAGAAGACUUGUAUGUAAAAAGCAGAAACAUAUUUACUGGCAAGCUGAUCCCAUCUGUGCUCCCGCGCUGUAAAGCUUCCCCCC
RNAcentral lists this long non-coding RNA (473 nucleotides) under Manacus vitellinus (golden-collared manakin). Its description in RNAcentral is "lncRNA (ENSMVIG00005010931.1)". Lineage: Eukaryota; Metazoa; Chordata; Aves; Passeriformes; Pipridae. The record is from RNAcentral.